Molecule: ribosomal RNA, 974 nt
Filed under: Ophiocordyceps bidoupensis
Lineage: Eukaryota; Fungi; Ascomycota; Sordariomycetes; Hypocreales; Ophiocordycipitaceae
Description: SSU rRNA
Rfam family: Eukaryotic small subunit ribosomal RNA
Source: RNAcentral
UUAGCCAUGCAUGUCUGAGUAUAAGCAAUUAUACGGCGAAACUGCGAAUGGCUCAUUAUAUAAGUUAUCGUUUAUUUGAUAGCACCUUACUACUUGGAUAACCGUGGUAAUUCUAGAGCUAAUACAUGCUGAAAAUCCCGACUUCGGAAGGGAUGUGUUUAUUAGAUUAAAAACCAAUGCCCCCCCGGGGCUCUCUGGUGAUUCAUGAUAACCUCUCGAAUCGCAUGGCCUUGCGCCGGCGAUGGUUCAUUCAAAUUUCUUCCCUAUCAACUUUCGAUGUUUGGGUAGUGGCCAAACAUGGUUGCAACGGGUAACGGAGGGUUAGGGCUCGGCCCCGGAGAAGGAGCCUGAGAAACGGCUACUACAUCCAAGGAAGGCAGCAGGCGCGCAAAUUACCCAAUCCCGACGCGGGGAGGUAGUGACAAUAAAUACUGAUACAGGGCUCUUUUGGGUCUUGUAAUUGGAAUGAGUACAAUUUAAAUCCCUUAACGAGGAACAAUUGGAGGGCAAGUCUGGUGCCAGCAGCCGCGGUAAUUCCAGCUCCAAUAGCGUAUAUUAAAGUUGUUGUGGUUAAAAAGCUCGUAGUUGAACCUUGGGCCUGGCUGGCCGGUCCGCCUCACCGCGUGCACUGGUCCGGCCGGGCCUUUCCCUCUGUGGAGCCCCAUGCCCUUCGCUGGGCGUGGCGGGGAAGCAGGACUUUUACUUUGAAAAAAUUAGAGUGCUCCAGGCAGGCCUAUGCUCGAAUACAUUAGCAUGGAAUAAUGAAAUAGGACGCGCGGUUCUAUUUUGUUGGUUUCUAGGACCGCCGUAAUGAUUAAUAGGGACAGUCGGGGGCAUCAGUAUUCAAUUGUCAGAGGUGAAAUUCUUGGAUUUAUUGAAGACUAACUACUGCGAAAGCAUUUGCCAAGGAUGUUUUCAUUAAUCAGGAACGAAAGUUAGGGGAUCGAAGACGAUCAGAUACCGUCGUAGUCUUA